Molecule: non-coding RNA, 28 nt
Filed under: Bombyx mori (domestic silkworm)
Lineage: Eukaryota; Metazoa; Arthropoda; Insecta; Lepidoptera; Bombycidae
Source: RNAcentral
UAUUGACAAACAAAGGCACGCGAAUAUC